CCUACGGGCGACAGCAGUGGGGAAUAUUGGACAAUGGGGGAAACCCUGAUCCAGCGACGCCGCGUGAGUGAAGAAGUAUUUCGGUACGUAAAGCUCUAUCAGCAGGAAAGAAAAUGACGGUACCUGACCAAGAAGCCCCGGCUAACUACGUGCCAGCAGCCGCGGUAAUACGUAGGGGGCAAGCGUUAUCCGGAUUUACUGGGUGUAAAGGGAGCGUAGACGGCAGCGCAAGUCUGGAGUGAAAUGCCGGGGCCCAACCCCGGAACUGCUCUGGAAACUGUGAAGCUGGAGUGCAGGAGAGGUAAGCGGAAUUCCUGGUGUAGCGGUGAAAUGCGUAGAUAUCAGGAGGAACACCGGCGGCGAAGGCGGCUUACUGGACUGUAACUGACGUUGAGGCUCGAAGGCGUGGGGAGCAAACAGGAUUAGAUACCCCAGUAGUC
Molecule: ribosomal RNA, 440 nt
Filed under: uncultured bacterium
Lineage: Bacteria
Description: partial 16S ribosomal RNA
Rfam family: Bacterial small subunit ribosomal RNA
Source: RNAcentral